GAUGAACGCUGGCGGCGUGCCUAAUACAUGCAAGUCGAACGCAUUUUCUUUCAACGUAGCUUGCUACACCUAAAGAAAGUCAGUGGCGAACGGGUUAGUAACACGUCGUUAACCUGCCCAUCAGCGGGGGAUAACACUUGGAAACAGGUGCUAAUACCGCAUAAUUCCAUUUACCGCAGGGUAGAUGGAUUAAAGGCUCUUUUGCAUCACUGAUCGAUGUACCCGCGGUGCAUUAUCAAGUUGGUGGGGUAACGGCCUACCAAGGCUGCCAGGCAUAGCCGGACCGGGGAGGUUGACCGCCCACACGGGAACGGGAACACGGCCCAGACUCCAAGGGGAGGCAGAGUAGGGAAACUUUGGCCAAGGGGCGAAGGCCGGACGAGGCAAGGCGGCGGAGGUGAGGAGGGUCUUCGGUUGGUAAAACACUUUGUUAGGGAAGGAAAAGGAUGAGAGUGGAAAGUUCAUGUCUUGACGGUACCUAAACAGAAAGCCACGGCUAACUACGUG
Molecule: ribosomal RNA, 507 nt
Filed under: uncultured bacterium
Lineage: Bacteria
Description: partial 16S ribosomal RNA
Rfam family: Bacterial small subunit ribosomal RNA
Source: RNAcentral